GCAUUGACCAACCAAGGUUCAAAAACCCAAAAUUAACAUGAUCUUUGAUACAUGUCUGUUUCGUCGUCGUAAGCCUUUAGCAACAUAGUUCAAAACCGGCUGCAACAAUGGACUUCCACCCAUCAUCGCAAUACAUAGCACCCCGGAAUUCAAGCUUCCAUCAUCAACAAUUGCAAUGUAAAUAAUGAACCUGCACAAAUCUACAUAAUGAAACCAAGUCCAUUGUAAACUCCAUAACAGAAUAACGACAGCAUGCCAAAACAGAGGUAUUACUAUAAAGUUACGGCGGCAUUAAAGUCCUGCAAGUAUACCACUUACAGCAUGUGCAUUUGGCAGUAGUUCACACCAAGUUUCAUCUUGCAAAUGACUGCACCGGCAAGUCUUCAUUUUGGAUUUUAGCCAACAAUUCCAGGACAAGCAAAACUAGACCUAAGUGCAAACCGUACAACCUGCUCAUACAAUCUUUUCACCUGCAUUGCAAUGGACUUUCUUUUGAUUACUCACUUGGCAGCUUGGAAGAGUUAACAAUAACAAGUUUUUUUUUUAACAUUUCAUGAUUCCAUUCAAUUGUAACCGCUAACAAGUUGC
RNAcentral lists this long non-coding RNA (588 nucleotides) under Lathyrus oleraceus (garden pea). Its description in RNAcentral is "Pisum sativum (pea) long non-coding RNA (PSAT_LNC034042)". Lineage: Eukaryota; Viridiplantae; Streptophyta; Magnoliopsida; Fabales; Fabaceae. The record is from RNAcentral.